UAAACAACAGUCAUCCUCAUCUGGCACUUCUCAUUCUAGUAAUUCCUUUGUUUAUCUAAGUCUACACCCAUUAGCCCAUGUAUAUUAGACUAUGGUGCAUCUGAUAAUAUCUCUGGUAAUAAGAACCUUUUCUCUAACCUUAGUUCCCCUUCAAUUCCCUCUAGAGUUAUACUUGCUAAUGGCACACAUGCUGUGGUUAAGGGAAUAAGAGAAGUUUGACCUCUUUCUUAUGUUUCUUUAAGUUCAGUUUUAUUUGCACCUAAAUGUCCACACAAUUUGAUUUCCAUAAGCAAAUUAACCAAAAAUUUUGAUUGCUCUGUCACUUUUAUGGCUGACUCUGUUAUUGUG
This 348-nucleotide unclassified non-coding RNA is filed under the name Hevea brasiliensis (rubber tree). The record is from RNAcentral. Lineage: Eukaryota; Viridiplantae; Streptophyta; Magnoliopsida; Malpighiales; Euphorbiaceae.